This 322-nucleotide ribosomal RNA is filed under the name uncultured eukaryote. Its description in RNAcentral is "partial 18S ribosomal RNA". It matches the Rfam family "Eukaryotic small subunit ribosomal RNA", at positions 1470 to 1796 of the family's 1831-position model. The record is from RNAcentral.
CCCUUAGAUGUUCUGGGCCGCACGCGCGCUACACUGAUGCAUUCAACGAGCCUAUCCUUGACCAACAGGUCCGGGUAAUCUUUGAAUCUGCAUCGUGACGGGGAUAGAUUAUUGCAAUUAUUAAUCUUCAACGAGGAAUGCCUAGUAGGCGCAAGUCAUCAGCUUGCGUCGAUUACGUCCCUGCCCUUUGUACACACCGCCCGUCGCUCCUACCGAUUGAAUGCUCAGGUGAGCCAUUCGGACCUUCAUCAUGCCGGUUUCCGGUUUUGAUGAGGGAAAGUCUUGCGAACCUUAUCAUUUAGAGGAAGGAGAAGUCGUAACA